This 498-nucleotide ribosomal RNA is filed under the name uncultured bacterium. Its description in RNAcentral is "partial 16S ribosomal RNA". It matches the Rfam family "Bacterial small subunit ribosomal RNA", at positions 30 to 523 of the family's 1533-position model. The record is from RNAcentral.
AUUGAACGCUGGCGGCAUGCUUUACACAUGCAAGUCGAACGGCAGCGCGGGGCAACCUGGCGGCGAGUGGCGAACGGGUGAGUAAUACAUCGGAACGUACCCAGAAGUGGGGGAUAACGUAGCGAAAGUUACGCUAAUACCGCAUACGUCCUACGGAAGAAAGUGGGGGACCUUCGGGCCUCAUGCUUUUGGAGCGGCCGAUGUCUGAUUAGCUAGUUGGUAGGGUAAAGGCCUACCAAGGCGACGAUCAGUAGCUGGUCUGAGAGGACGACCAGCCACACUGGGACUGAGACACGGCCCAGACUCCUACGGGAGGCAGCAGUGGGGAAUUUUGGACAAUGGGCGCAAGCCUGAUCCAGCAAUGCCGCGUGAGUGAAGAAGGCUUUCGGGUUGUAAAGCUCUUUUGUCAGGGAAGAAACGGCUGAGGUUAAUACCUUCGGCUAAUGACGGUACCUGAAGAAUAAGCACCGGCUAACUACGUGCCAGCCGCCGCUGUAA